RNAcentral lists this unclassified non-coding RNA (4277 nucleotides) under Hevea brasiliensis (rubber tree). Lineage: Eukaryota; Viridiplantae; Streptophyta; Magnoliopsida; Malpighiales; Euphorbiaceae. The record is from RNAcentral.
AUAAACUACAUUGCAUUGACUUUUGGCCUAUUUUACACACAAAAUUUUGAACUGUACAAUGAUAAUAUAUCACAAUAACGAAGUCAGGUAGAUGUUAUCUAUGGAGCUUUCUAAAUAACCAUUUCCUCCGCUGAUUUACAUCCAUUCCCACAAACACCUUAGCCUUUUUCUCAUUUUCUAGAAGUUGACAGGCUUCCAAGAAGAGUUCGUCGUCCAUAUCUGGUAUAGCUUGAAGUGCAUCAACAAUGACUUCAAUUGACAUAUGUUCUUUUGCCUCCCUACUUCCCAUUGUUUUGACCACGUCCAGCUUCCGACCAAGUUCUUUUGGAUCCUCCAUCUUCUGUCUUUGAACUUUCCUAGAAGCCACUGAGGUUGACGUCGUUACAAGUUUCCGUUUUUUUCUGUGAUCAUAUGUCUCAAAUUCUUCAGUCAGAUUUACAUCUGCAUUAAUUCCUUCGAGCCCCAUGUCUAUGUCAAUCUCCAUUUUUACACCCAAAUUACUUGAUCUUCCAACGGGCACUUCAUUACCAUAAAUAACGCAAAGAACAUCAUAACUACUUAAGAUUUGAUCUCUGUACUUGAUUGCAUAUGGAUGUUCCUCGAUAUAAGAUUGCCAAUCAUCAUCAGCAGCAAUUAUUUUUUGCUCAGUUUCAUCCCAAGAAAAACCAUUCUCAUUGAGAAGAUCUGUGAUGUUUUCAUACUCUUCCAUCAAGCUAAGGUACCAGCUUUCUGCAGCAUCUUUUUCACAGAGGAGGCCAAACUUUUCAUUAAAUAAGGCAAUUAUCCAGGACCAUGCAUGCUCGUUGAAUGUCUGACCAAUCUUAUUUCCCUUAAGCACCCACUCUAACAGAAGUUCAAUGAAAUAGGCUUCCAUUGUCUUUGUCCAAUUUACUUGUGAAGGGUGGUCAAAAUCAACAGGGGAUAGGCCAUCAUCCUCGCAAAAAUUUAGUCCCAGAACAUAGUCAUCAGCAGCCAUUAAGUGACAUGAAUGGUCGAGUCUUGCAUUAUUGUUUGUACCUCCAAAUAUCAAGAACAAGUCAUUAUAAUUUGGGAGAGUUCUAUUGCAGUAUGACCAGGCAUCCAGGUUUUCCUUCAAAUAAGAAUUCCAGAGAUCAUCAUCAGCAAUUAUCAUCUGUCUCAGUUCAUCCCAAGCAAAUCCUUUCAGAUCAAGUAAAUUUUUCAUACCAUUGAAUUGCUUCCUCAAAUUCAUAAAACGACUCUUUAAGAAAUCUUUGUCAUGCUGAGACCCAAAUUCAGCACUAAACUUUGCAGCCAUAUCACUCCAUGCUUGCCUAUUAAAUCUUAGAUUAACCAUACUUCCUUGACGAACAUGCUCUAGCAUUAGAUCAAUGAAACGUCGGUCCAUUGGUGGAGUCCAAUCAGUUCUCCAGCAAUAGCUAUUGUUAAGUUUGGCUGGACCUGAUUGGUCACCCCCUCCUCUGUCUGAAGCUGAAUUUCCAUAAAUCAAGAACAAGUCAUUGUAAUUUGGCUUUCGAUCAGUUCUAUAUGAAAUGGCAUCUGGGUUUCCCUUUAUAUAAGUAUCCCAAACAUCAUCAUAUGCCGUAACCAACUGCUGUGAUUCAUCCCAAGAAAAUCCUCUCUGGGUAAGUAGAUUCUUCAUAUCAUUGAACAAUUGCCCUAAAGUUUUAUGACAACCCUUCAGAACAUCUUUGUCAAGUUUUAGUUCAAAUUUUUCCCUGAACAACACAGCCAUAUCUAUCCAAGCUUGAUUAUCCAGAGUGUAAUCAAUCUUAUUCCCUCUAAUCACUUGAUCUAAUAAAAGGUCGAUAAAAUAGCGAUACAUCGAAGGUGUCCAAUCAAUUCUUGAACAAUCACCAUUUGUAUAGCAUUGAACAUCCUCUCCAAUCGUAAAAGCUGGCCCUUUGCUGUCAAGAUCCACAAUAUGAGCUCUAUGACUGUGUCUUCCAUUGGAAAUUUCUUCACCGAAUAUAACACAUAACUUGUGAUAGCUCAGCACAGGUUUAUUUCUAUAUAAUCGAACAUCAGGAUGUACCUUAACAAAAGAGUCCCAAACAUAAUCUUCUGCAGUUACCAUCUCUCGACUCUCAUCCCAAGAAAACCCAUUCUGCUCAAGCAGAAGGUUUACAUCAUUGUAUUGCCUCCUCAAAUGUAUGUACCGAUUCUUCAGAAUUUCUUUCUCAUGAUGUGUCCCAAAUCUCUCAUUGAACAACUUGAUCAUUUCAAUCCAAGCCUCAGUUGUCAAUUCAUGACCAAUUUUAUUCCCUCUAAGUGCCUGGUCUUGCAGCAAAUCAAUGAGAUAACGAUCCAUAGCAAGUGUCCAGCACAGGCCGAAACCAUUACUUUGAACAGAAAAAUGAAUGUCCUUUUCUUCACCAGACCUAACUUGCAUGGUGCCAUCUUCAAAGCUUUUAUCUUGGCGUAGAUCUAAGUGUCCGUUGACAACUUCAUUUCCAUAAAUCAAAUUCAAUUCCCGAUAGUUCAGUAAUGUCUUCUUUCGGCAUAAAUGUGCACCUGGGUGUGCCUGGAUAAUCUUUUCCCAAAGAGCAUCAUCAGCCACUAUCAUUUGUUGUCUUCCAUCCCAAGAAAAUCCUUUUCUUUCAAGUAGGCUUCUGAUAUCACUAUAGUACUUGAACAAUUUCUUAUAACGUCGCUUCAAAAAACUUUUUCCAUAUUGAGAACAAAAUUUUGCGUUGAACAAAGUGAGCAUAUCUUUCCACGCUUGUUUGCUGAAUGUCCUAUCCCUUUUAUUUCCCCUUUUAAGUUGUUCCAACAUAAGCUCAACAAAAUAUCGGUCCAUGGCCAGUGUCCAAUCUGUUUUCACACGCUCACUACUUGCUGGAGCAAUGCAACCGAUAUUGAGCCCCUGAAUGUCAUCAUCUAUGUCUACAUCAUGACUUGAAAGGCUGUAUCUUCCAUCUGCAGUUGUAUAUGCAUAUAUCAAGCACAGAUCGUUAAAGUUCAUCAAAGACUUCCUCUUGUAGAAUUGUGCAUCAGGGUGGACCUGGUCAUUUAUACUUUAUCAAUAAAAUUUUAUAAAUAUGGUCAGAGACAGGGGGAAGCAACAGAGUGAAAAAUGACUUAGUGGACCUUGAUGAAGGCAUCCCAGACAUCAUCAUCAGCCAUCACCAUUUUCCGACCAUCAUCCCAAGAAAAUCCAUUCUGUUCAAGAAGAUUCUUCACAUCAUUGUAUUGCUUCCAUAAAUUUGUAUAAUGACUUUUCAAGAUAUCUCUGUCAUAUUUAGUCCCAAACUUUGCAUUGAACAUGGUCAGCAUAUCUGUCCAAGCUUGCUUGUUGAAGGUAUGACCCAUUCUAUUGCCCCUGUGCAUCUGAUCUAGCAUAAGAUCAAUAAAAUACCGUUCCAUUAUGGGUGUCCAAUUUGUCCUUGUCCGAUCACCACCCUGAGGGACUUGGCUGCCCAUUUCCUUCCCCUACAAUAUCCAAACUUUGGUUGCAACAAAGUUUUGGUUAUUCAAUGCUAGCCAGCAAUACUAAAAGAAAACCAAUUUAGUUGUUGGUUCAUGAAUAUAUUCUUCUAUCAUUGGCAAGCAUCCUAAACCGCAGAACACCCAACCCAUUACAUUAGAAAAACUGCUUUACACAGUUCUGGUAAUGGGGAGGGAAGUCUAAAGACAGUCAUAUUCCCUGCAUUUCCACACAAAGCAGAUCUCUUGCACCUCAAACUCAAAACAAGCCCAAGACUCAGACAUUGCACUAGCCAAUGGCUUCUAUACAUUACAAAACCAUACAACAUAUAUGCACAUGUUGGGAUGUACAAAGGAUGUGAACAAACGUUCGCCCAUCACACACAUGAUACACAAUUUGCGAGUUCAAAGAUGCAAGCAUACAAUUCAAACACAAAUGAAGCCCAGAAAUGACACAAUUCAAUCUCUAAUUUUAACAAAAUUUAAUCAGAAGAAACACUUUGCUUGUUACCAAAAAAUCUGAUAUAUGGAAAUGGGAAAGAAAAAAAAAUAGAAAUUUGACUUAAAAAUCAAAAGAUAACACAACAUCUUUUUUUUUUUUCCAACAUUUUCUAAGUAACCAAAAUCGAAUCAUACCAUACACGGUUAAAAGUAUAUGCUAUCAGAGGUAGAGGGGAUAAUUCUUAGUACCUGCUUUCGGUAGAGAGGAUAAUUCUUAGUACCUGAUUUCAUAAAGCAGAUGAGAUAAGAGAUCGAAAACGGGAAAACUGUAGGCGGGGCGGGGCCGGGCGCGGCAGCUAUGCGGAUCUUUUGCAGCUGCAGCCUGCAGGCCAGUCUAGGCUGAAUGGGUACGAUUAGUUGCUUCGCGCAAC